UUCGGGGGUCAACGGACAGAGCCCGUGAAUCCGGGCCGGCGAAUUCAGGACCGGUGGUGCUCUUGUAGGUGCUGCCGUCGGUUUGAUUUUUCGUCGGCCGCGGACGUUGCGACCCGUUUGGUGCUGGUUUUAAGGGCCGACGUUCAGUUCGACCAGUUUGAUUGUUUCGGCGGAUCAGUUUGGCGAUGCGUCAGUUCCGAGCUAGCUAGCCCGACGGUAUGAAUGGUGUCCGGCGAUGGGGACUUGUCCUGAUCGUCGGUACCGGUCGGUAACGAUUAUUCGGGCCUCUUUCCGACCCGUCUUGAAACACGGACCAAGGAGUCUAACGUGUGCGCGAGUCAUAGGGUGUCGCCGACUGGUGCGCAAGCAUCAGUCGGCGUUAACAAACGAAACCCGACUAGGCGAAAUGAAAGUAAUUUCGGCACAUAUGGGAAGAUAGCGUUCCGAGUACACGUUCUAGACUCGAUCUAGACCGGACGUUCGCAUUCCCGGGGCGUCCCUUCAGUCCGGCGGUGUACUACUUCGGUGGUGCGCCGUUGAACUGGGGCGCACUCGUAGCGUACACGUUGGUACCCGAAAGAUGGUGAACUAUGCCCGGCCAGGAUGAAGUCAGGGGAAACCCUGAUGGAGGUCCGCAGCGAUUCUGACGUGCAAAUCGAUCGUCUGAGCUGGGUAUA
RNAcentral lists this ribosomal RNA (677 nucleotides) under Icerya purchasi. Its description in RNAcentral is "partial large subunit ribosomal RNA". It matches the Rfam family "Eukaryotic large subunit ribosomal RNA", at positions 408 to 919 of the family's 3401-position model. The record is from RNAcentral. Lineage: Eukaryota; Metazoa; Arthropoda; Insecta; Hemiptera; Monophlebidae.